This 497-nucleotide ribosomal RNA is filed under the name uncultured bacterium. Its description in RNAcentral is "partial 16S ribosomal RNA". It matches the Rfam family "Bacterial small subunit ribosomal RNA", at positions 28 to 507 of the family's 1533-position model. The record is from RNAcentral.
GAUGAACGCUGGCGGCGUGCCUAAUACAUGCAAGUCGAGCGAACGGACGAGAAGCUUGCUUCUCUGAUGUUAGCGGCGGACGGGUGAGUAACACGUGGAUAACCUACCUAUAAGACUGGGAUAACUUCGGGAAACCGGAGCUAAUACCGGAUAAUAUUUUGAAUCGCAUGGUUCAAAAGUGAAAGACGGUCUUGCUGUCACUUAUAGAUGGAUCCGCGCUGCAUUAGCUAGUUGGUAAGGUAACGGCUUACCAAGGCAACGAUGCAUAGCCGACCUGAGAGGGUGAUCGGCCACACUGGAACUGAGACACGGUCCAGACUCCUACGGGAGGCUGCAGUAGGGAAUCUUCCGCAAUGGGCGAAAGCCUGACGGAGCAACGCCGCGUGAGUGAUGAAGGUCUUCGGAUCGUAAAACUCUGUUAUUAGGGAAGAACAUAUGUGUAAGUAACUGUGCACAUCUUGACGGUACCUAAUCAGAAAGCCACGGCUAACUACGUG